CCGGCAUUAGCGCGGAGAUGGAGCGGUGGCUUGCCCACUGGUCGCCGGUUCGAUUCCGGCACGUCGUGCAA
Molecule: transfer RNA, 71 nt
Filed under: Xanthomonas graminis pv. graminis
Lineage: Bacteria; Pseudomonadati; Pseudomonadota; Gammaproteobacteria; Lysobacterales; Lysobacteraceae
Also listed under: 3 other names
Description: Xanthomonas translucens pv. graminis tRNA-Gln
Source: RNAcentral